Molecule: RNA transcript, 3696 nt
Organism: Hevea brasiliensis (rubber tree)
Lineage: Eukaryota; Viridiplantae; Streptophyta; Magnoliopsida; Malpighiales; Euphorbiaceae
Exons: 4
Source: RefSeq, a predicted model, not a curated record
UGUCGAAAUAUUUUAUACGUUUCUUUCCCCUUCUGCAUAAAUUUCUUAAGUACACAACACUUGAACAUUUUCCACCUCCUCUCGAGCCCUCUUAUCUCUCCAUAUUGUAAUAGGACUUCGCUUUGCUUAUUCUUUCUAUAACCCCCCUGAAUUGUCUCUGCAAACACCCCUGAAACUGAAGCUGCCUUAAACAAGUUUAAUAGUAGAUGUGAAUUAGAGCAUAACAUGAAAACCCGUUUGCCCAGGCUGGGGAUUUCACGUUGGAUUUCAUACUCCAGGUCUUCCAUGGAGGUGUUUCAGAUAGAGCCAAUUGCCAUGAAUAAUGAUGGCAAUUCUAUUGAAGAAUCAUCUUUUCAGCAGUUAAUUCCUCCAAGCUCUCCUGAGAUAAGUGGCAUAUCCGGAGAUCCACAAGUGAAUCCCCGAGUUGGCAAUGAGUAUCAGGCAGAAAUUCCUCCCAUGAUAUCAGAAUCUCACCAUUUUCAGCUUUCACUGGACCCUUUUGAUUCAAAAGUCACAGUUGAUGGUUCUCAUUCCUUUCUAAUAGGUUUACCUAUCCCAAUUACUUGGAUUCAUGACACAACAAAUGACAGAAAUGAAGGGUGCACAAUGAGCAAUCCUGAUGAUUCAAUCCAAGGGACAUGGUCAAGCAAAUCAAGAACGACUGGAAAGAAUAAUAUUCUGGAGAAGAAAGGUUCAAAACAAAAUGCAGAACCAACAGAUCUUGGAUUGGACGAUGGAAAUGAACCAAAACCAGUAACUCUUGGGCCCAUGGAGGCAGGAGAAGCUAACUUAUCUUUGCUGCAGAAAAGCAACAAUUCUGAUCCUGUUCCUGGUUCAUUAAAUCAUCCUUGGAGUGAUGUCGAUGUUGAUAGUUUUAUUCUUGGUUUAUAUGUAUUUGGUAAAAAUUUUGUUCAGAUAGAGAGAUUCAUGGAAAACAAAGAUAUGGGGAAAUAUUGUCCUUCUACUAUGGAGAAUUUUACAGGUCUGAUGGAUAUCGCAGAUGGUCAGAUUGCCAGAAGACAAAACGAAAGAAAUGCAUCUAUGGACAGAAAAUUUUUACGGGGUGGAGACAACAGGAGCUGCUCUCUCGUUUGCAUCCUCAUGUCCCUGUGCAUUCUCAAAAUGAUUUUCUAGAGGUCUCUAUGGCAUUUUCAGAGGGGAAAUUUUCUCUAGAAGAUUAUGUAUCCAAUUUAAAGGCCAUUGCUGGCAUUAAAGCUCUUGUAGAUGCUAUUGGAAUCGGUAAGGGAAAGGAAGAUCUAACAAGUCUUGCCAUGGAACCUGCAAGAAGCAAUCCUUUGUUAUCUAUUUGCCCAAUUGGCAAAGCUUGCUCCUCUUUGACUUCCAGUGACAUAAUCAAGCUGUUGACUGGGGGCUUCCGUUUGAGCAAAGCCCGUUGUAACGAUAUAUUCUGGGAAGCUGUUUGGCCCCGUUUGCUAGCAAGAGGGUGGCACUCUGAGCAACCAAACAAUCAGGGUUGUAUGGGUUCCAACCAUCCUAUAGUGUUUCUCAUUCCUGGUGUUAAGAAGUUCUCAAAAAGGAAACUUGUGAAAGGUAACCACUACUUUGAUUCUGUUAGUGAUGUUUUGAGCAAAGUGGCAUCCGAACCAAAACUUAUUGAGCUUGAAACUGAAGAAGCUAGAGGCAGCAGCUGCAAUGAAGAGAACAGGUGGGUUGCAGGAGUUCCAUUGGGCCACAAUGAUGCAUCCAUUCGCCAAUCCUUUCGUUACCUUAAACCACGAGUUUCUAAUUACAAUCUGAAUCUUGUGAAGUUCACUGUUGUUGAUUCUGGUUUGGUUGAUGAAAGAAAAUUAUCCAGGAUGAGAGAAAUGAGAUAUACACCAGAUGAUUUGAAUGUUAAAUCCUUACUGACAAAACUUUCAAGUAGCAUCGAAAUGAUGUUUUCGGAGAAGUCACUGAAUGACAAUGAGACAGAGGCUGUUGACAUGUCACUGGAUGGUGGAAAGAAUGUCAGUAAUGUUAAAUGCUGUGAAAAAGGAUUUGAUGGUUGGGGCUCAAACCAUGCAAAGUUCACAAUUGUGGAUACGAGUUUGAUACAUGCAGGGAAAUCAUCAAAGGUGAGAGAAUUGAGAUAUUCACCAGUUGACAUUAUAGUUACUUCUGAAAUAACCAAAUCCUCGAGGAAAAAAGAAAGUGAUUCCUCUGAGGAUUCGCUGGAUGGGCAUGUGCGAGAUGCAACCAAAAUGCUGUCACGUGAGGAAAAGAAUGGCAAAAAAUGCAGCCACAAUAAGGAUGUAAUUGAUAGCAGUGGAUCAGAACAGAAGGCACUCAAUAGAGAAAUCAGGAACAAAUUUGUCGAAAGCCUCCAAGGUAAUAACAAUGUGUCAAAUAAAAAUCAGCCAACAAGGACUAUUAAGCAGAAAUUCAGUCGAAGACCAAAAUCUGGUCAUUCAAAUAAUUUAGUUUCUGUAGUCAAACGACGGAGAUUAACUGCUUGCUGUAAUACAGAGUUAAGUCAUGUUAUUGAGAAUUUCUCUGUUAGCCUGGGAUCCAAACAAGAAGGGUCUUACUUUGCUUUGAAAUCUCCAGAGGGGGGCAGUAAUACCUUUCAAGUUAAUCCUCCUCAGAAGUUAUCAUCAAACAUUUCCUUAGCUGAAGGCAGUCUAGAAGAGAACACUGGAGGUUUGGUGGGUGCAACUUGUUUUGGUGCGGAAACAUCGCAUGGGGAAAAUGUUAAACUUCAAACCCCAUCUUUGAUUGACCUGAACCUGCCUCAAUUUUCAUUGGAUUGUGAAAAUGAUGAACCAGCAUUGAUGAACGUAGAAAGCAGUCCGGGAGCUAAUGCCGAUCAUCAAUGCUUUCUGUCCAAUUCAGACAAGACUGAUCCUGGGGCAUUGAGUGCGUCUGUUGAUGAUGGUCCUGCAAUAAAGCAGCCUAGUUUGAACCCCAGAAGACAAAGCACAAGAAACCGACCUUUGACCACCAGGGCAUUGGAAGCUCUUGAAUGUGGAUUCUUGAGUGUGAAGAGGCAAAAAACCUCAAAAGUUCACGCACAGGAAAUCUCAUUUUCCAGUUCAUCCCAUAGGGUUCACAGCAAGGCCAAAGUAACACCAAGUCGUGGUAAUGUUGGCUCUGGCAUUGUGAAUGCAAAGGAUGGGAAUGACAGUGAGGCCUUUAACAAAAAAGAUUUUGUCCAAAAGACUCCUGAUAGAAGUGAAGAAAAGUGCUGACUAGUUAAUAGGAUGUCCAAAGCUACUACAUCUGGAAGUUUGAGGACAGCUUAGUGAGCUGCUAUUUGUUAUUUUGACUUGAAAUCAGAUCCUCGGUUGUUAAUUGCCAGAAGUAGCUGAUAUCUGUGGAGAGACUCCUUGCUAUAUUACCUCUAAACUGUAUAUGCUGUCUACUUUGGUCCUCUUUGGUAUGCUUUCACCAAGCAAGCAUAGAAGUGGGAGUACCUCUACUUCGACAUAUACAGUUUACCUACAGGCCCAAUCCUUACAACACUAUAUAAUAUACUGGUCUCAGUGUACCACCUUACAAUGCACAUAACAUUUUACUAGAAAUUGUACUGGUAUGCCAUCAAGUCAUUUGCAUUUUGCCUCAGUGUUCUUCCCUUUUUAUUUUUGGGUGAUAAUGGAAACAAUGCUUGUUGCAAUAUAUUGGUGCAUCUGGGAUUGGAAGCAGAAGGUGAACCCAGAAUAUUAUAUGUGAAUUAAAUCUCCAUCAUAUUUUCAAAUA